UCCCACUCACAAUAUUUUCAGUGCGACAGUGCAAGGAUUAAUGGUUGAAUUGGAUGCAGUCAUUGUACGGAUCUCCUGUUAUUGUUUACAUUUUGAAACAGCGUACGGACUCUACUUAAUGAGGGUGUCAUUUCCAGUGAACGUUAGGUUAUUAUUGAGUAAUUUUUUACCUCGUUUUUCAUGUUAGUAAAAUGCUUUGACAAGUAUAUCAAUCAAUGGUGAUGAAGUAACUAAUCUGCUAUGCUAACCAACACAGCUAGCUAACUAUAAUAGCCAGCUGACUGGCAACAAAAGCUAGCGAGUUAUUGCCGGGUCUAGUUAUCCACCUAACGCUACUGUAGUAAGCUAACUAACCGAUACAAUUGAUUGGUACCACAUUGUCAGUUUGUCCAUUGGAUAAAAUCAUCGUUUAUGUUGCUAGCUAGCUACCUGCCUAGGGAAUGUCAACGUUUGAGACCAGACAACAUCGUCAAUUUAGCUAGCUAGCGAAUUUAGCAAACGUUAGCUAGUUAACAUGGUCUCAAGUUGUAAUGACGUGCUAACAUGUUAAUGUUACAUAUGUUAUUUAAAUAGUUAUUUUCCUAGAGUUGGCAAUUUUAGCUUUUGGUGGGCUAACCGAAGCGCAGCUAGCUAUAGCUCUUGAUGGGUGUCUAAAAACUUGGAUCUCGAGGAUGUGAGCUGCAAAGGUCUAGGCAAGACCAGAGGAAAACACAGGGGUGCACAAUGUUUAGUGCAGCUCAGAGUUCCAAGUCUGAGUUCCUGGACAAAGCCAGGCAGGCGCGUGAGGAGAGGAAGGGGUACAAAGCAAGGGACAGAGCAGCCACCCUAAUUCAAGCGCUGGUGAGGAGAUUCCUCUGUCGCUGCAGACUCCAGAAACAAAUAAGGAAAGAAGUUGAUGACUUAUUCCAAGAUGCCGGGACCACAAAAAGAAACGCACUAUCCAUUUUUAAAAUUGCACGGAAGUUACUAUUCAUUUUUUGCCAAGAUGAUAAGUUGAGAUUUGAGAAGCUUUGUCGCUCCAUUCUUGGCAGCAUGGAUGUUGAAAAUGAGCCCAAAGUUUGGUAUGUGUCAUUGGCCCUUUCUAAAGACCUCACCAUCCCUUGGAUCAAGCAGAUUAAAGAUGUCCUGUGGAUCUCCUGUCAGUUCCUGAAAAAAUUAAAGCCUGACAUCAUGCAGGACAAUAAGCUGGUGACUCUGUACCUCACCAUGCUGGUGACCUUCACAGACACAUCAACCUGGAAGAUAGUGAGAGGGAAAGGCGAGGCCCUCAGACCAGCUUUGACCCGGAUCUGUGAGAACAUCAUGGGGCAUCUCAAUCAAAAGGGAUUUUAUUCAAUACUGCAGAUUCUACUCACCAACGGAUUGGCACGCUCCAGACCCUCUCUUACCAAGGGCACACUCACAGCAGUAUUCACGCUGGCAUUAAGACCUGUCAUUGCUGCUCACUUCUCUGACAACUUGCUGAGGUCUCUCCUUCUCCACAUCAUGUCUGUCCCAGCAGUUGUCUCCCACAUCUACACCAUCACCCCAGAGUGCAUGACCACCAUCCAGACCCAUGACCUCUUGAGGAAGUUCAUCCUGUUCCUUAGCCGCGAGGAGCAGUGUGCCGACAUCUGUGUCUGCCUGGAGGGGAGCCACACACUGUGCUUACUGGGCAACCUGAUUCACCUGGGCUACCUCAACGAGAAAGUACUGGAGGAGGAGGCCAACCACUUUGUGACGGAACUGACGGACAUGCUGUCCUACUGCCAGAGAUACGUGUCCCAGAAGAAAUCUAACCUCACCCACUGGCACCCUGUCCUGGGCUGGUUCUCCCAAACCGUAGACUACGGUCUGAAUGAGUCCAUGCCACUGGUCACGAAGCAGCUGCAGUACCUGUGGGGCAUGCCUGUGAUCUGGACGCUCUUCAGUGACGUCCUUAGCAAAAAGCUGGAGACCCAAGAUCCCACGCCUCCGCCGCAACCUACCACGUCCCAAAACAACCUGCCAGUCAAGAGUCUAUUCAAGCGGGCAUUUCAGAAGUCUGCCUCAGUGCGAAACAUCCUGAAGCCAGUUGGCGGGAGACGGGUGGACUCCGCAGAGGUUCAGAAAGUGUGCAGUAUCUGUGUACUGUACCAGACAGCCCUCACCACGCUCACCCAGAUACGAUUGCAAAUCCUCACUGGCCUAACCUACCUGGACGACCUGCUGCCUAAGCUGUGGGCCUUCAUCUGCGAACUAGGACCCCAAGGAGGGCUCAAGCUGUUCAUAGAGUGCCUGAACAACGACACAGAGGAGUCUAAGCAGCUGCUAGCCAUGCUCAUGCUGUUCUGCGACUGCUCCAGACACCUCAUCACGAUCCUGGAUGACAUUGAAGUUUACGAAGAGCAGAUCUCGUUUAAGACGGAAGAGCUCGUAACCAUCUCCUCGUUUCUCAACACGUUUGUUUACAAGAUGGUCUGGGAUGGUAUCUUAGAGAAUGCCACGGGAGAGAAGCUGGACCUGUUCCACAGCGUUCACGGCUGGCUGAUGGUGCUUUACGAGCGGGACUGCAGGAGGAGGUUCUCCCCUGAUGACAACUGGCUGCGCAAGGAUCUAAAGCCGAGCCUUUUGUUCCAAGAGCUGGAGAAGGGCAAGAGGAGAGCUCAGCUGUUACUUCAGUACAUCCCACACGUCAUUCCACACAAAAACAGGGUCCUGCUGUUCCGAAACAUUGUCACCAAGGAGAAGGAAACCUUGGGAUUGGUGGAGACCAGCUCCGCCUCUCCGCAUGUCACCCAUAUCACCAUUCGCCGCUCACGGAUGUUAGAGGAUGGUUAUGACCAGCUCCGCCGGUUGCCCGUCAACUCCAUCAAAGGUGUGAUCCGCGUGAAGUUUGUCAACGACCUGGGUGUGGACGAGGCCGGCAUCGACCAGGACGGCGUCUUCAAGGAGUUCCUGGAAGAGAUCAUCAAGAAAGUCUUCAAUCCGGCUCUCAACCUCUUUAAGACCACCAGUGGCAACGAGAGGCUCUACCCCUCCCCUACGUCCUACAUCCACGAGAACCACCUGCAGCUCUUUGAGUUUGUGGGGAAGAUGCUCGGCAAAGCCAUGUACGAGGGUAUCGUGGUAGACGUACCCUUCGCCUCCUUCUUCCUCAGCCAGGUCAUGGGCCACCAUCACAGCACUUUCUACAGCUCCAUUGACGAGCUGCCCUCCCUGGACUCUGAGUUCUACAAGAACCUCACCUCCAUUAAGCGCUACGACGGGGAUGUUGGUGAUCUAGGACUGACGCUAUCGUAUGACGAGGAUGUUAUGGGACAGCUGGUCUGUCAUGAGCUGAUCCCUGGAGGAAAGACGAUGCCAGUCACCAAUGAAAACAAGAUCAGCUAUAUCCACCUGAUGGCGCACUUCCGCAUGCACACGCAGAUAAAAGAGCAAACGGCAGCUUUCAUCCGAGGGUUCCGCAGCAUCAUCAACCCGGAGUGGCUGCACAUGUUCUCCACCCCCGAGGUCCAGCGCCUCGUCUCCGGGGACAACGCCGAGAUAGACCUGGACGACCUCAAGAAACACACAGUGUACUAUGGAGGUUUCCACAGCAGCCAUCGGGUCAUCAUCUGGCUGUGGGACAUCCUGUCCAGUGACUUCUCAUCUGAGGAAAGGGCCAUGUUCCUCAAGUUUGUCACCAGCUGUUCGAGACCACCCCUCCUGGGUUUUGCCUACCUCAAGCCCCCUUUCUCCAUUCGCUGUGUGGAGGUGUCUGAUGAUCAGGACACGGGGGACACCCUGGGCAGUGUCCUGCGGGGUUUCUUCACCAUCCGGAAGAAGGAGCCUGGCGGCCGCCUCCCCACCUCAUCCACCUGCUUCAACCUGCUCAAGCUGCCUAACUACAGCAAAAAGAGCAUCCUGCGUGACAAGCUUCGCUAUGCCAUCAGUAUGAACACAGGUUUUGAGCUCUCCUAAAACAAACUCCCCCCUGCUCGUGGUCUGCUGCCAGCAAAACUAAAGGAUUAACAACUAAAGAGCAUCCUCCUAGCCCAGGCUAAGGGUGGCAGCCGGUCAAGUCAGUGGAGCUUCACCAAAGCUGAAGGCGAAACAAAUAGGAUACCCCCUUACCUUUAUCCCAGUCUAGGAAACCAGAAGAGCUCCAUCCUCUUUUACCCCAAUCUGUCUGUAUUCUGGAAAGUCCACCCACCCCAAGGGCUUUCAACCCUAUUUGCUGCCUGUGCAACCAUGGUAACUUAUUUUCUGACCAGUGGCAGUCAUUGCCCAUGCUUAACAGAAUGAUACUUGGAUCUAGCACUCCCACGUCAAAGAAACUGGAAAGCAAUAUAGAUGCAAUGCAAGCCAUUACACGCGAUAGACUCCUCACUGGAGAAAAAUCAUAGGAAGCUUUGUUCUACCUGCUGGAAUAGGAUGUUGCCCGAGCAACUGUCCGCUGUCAUUCGGUGAGUCUUAAUAACCUUGUUUAACAUGACGAAAGCACCUUUUUCAUAAAGAGACGACAAAUCACUGCCUCAUGUUCAACGGCAAGUUCUGACCACGGAGAUAUGGUCACGUGUUGGCGCCUGUGUCAUGUCUGUUUAUUGCCCCUCAUGGGUUAAUUAAGGAAUUAAAUCCUGAUGAUCUGUCUCUCUCCCCAUACACACACUACAGUCAGUCACCUGACAACAGCUUUGGAGCCUGUACGUCUCUGUUCUCUAAUGUAUUCAAAUUAGAAUUCAUGUUACACAGCAAUGCAUUUGUGACCCAAAGUGAUGCCAUCAAUACUUAAACCAAACUCCAUGCUGUUAUUUGGUACCAGAUGUCCCGUUAUCUUCUGUCAUGGUUCCGGAGUCUCUUUUCUUGUUGUGUUUGAAAAUGGAUAAUACAGUGGCCCUGCUAUGUUUUUAUAUUAUUUUGCUGUGAAAUAUCUGGGUCCUGUAACUACAGCAGACACAACAUUGACAACCAUUGUUUUUUUCCACUUUGCAUGUCCCUAAUUGUGACACUCCCAAACUAAUCUGUUACAGUGAAGUCAAUCAUGAACAUUUCUCUAUAUCCACUAGGAUUGGCCAUGCCUCUUGGAAUGGAAUCAAGCCAUGAACACAUAGGACAAGGUAUUUAUAAGGACUUGAGCCUGCUUACAGACAAUUGAAUUCCCAUGCUCCCUUUACCGCCACUGAACCGUCCAACCCAGGAAGGUUUGGUGUCAAGCAUGUACUGAUUCUCCCUUGUGUCUGGUAACCUGACAGCCACGUGCAAAAAGGGAUACACAGGGAGCAAACCAUACUAUUUGUCAUGGGCUGGUUGAUCAUGUGAAUCUGAAAGCAUUGCUUUUGUGUCUCUCUCUACCCUCUCCUUUCUUACCUAAUCUCUCUUGCACAUAAAACCCUGCUCUUUUUGUGAGGGGGGGAGGGGCAUUUUUUCUAACGAUCGGAAAUAAUUAUACCAUGCAAAACGUCAAAGGGUCAAAUAAAAAGAGACAAUUUGGGGCAGUUAUUAGUGACGUGUAGUUCCAACGUCAAGGUGGUUGCAGACGAGGCAGCAAAGGGUCCCGAGUUUUAAUAAUGUGAAAGAUUAACAGGCUGAUUUAAAAGCAAUAGCCUAUUUGUUGAUUCAGUAUUUUAUGCAAAACUGUUUCAUGAGGGGUGUGUACAUGUGUGUGCUGAGCGGUUGUCAGAACUAUAGACAUGGCUCUGGUUGUGGUCAUAACAAAAAGGGAAUCAAGCCUGUUUAAGCACCAUUAAUACCUAUCUCUUAUAUAUCCUGGCCACUAGUUAACACAAAAACUCAGUUCUGAUGAUUAUACAGGCAUUUUAUGGGCAUUAAACAAGGUUCUAUAUGGGUUUUGUAUUGCUUUGCUAACUGAAAUCUGUGCUCAAUUUGUCUGUGUGUAGGAAUAUUAAGGGGGUACAACCUACCUGUACAGGCAUUUCCCCCCCAUUUAUAAAUGCCAUCAAUCUCAUUGACAAAUAGAAAUUACAACUUGUCUUAGUGACUCUAUGGGAAGACCUUACCUCAAUGUUCAGUCUGUUGUAAUCACUGCGAUAUAUUUCCUUAAUUCCCAAGAGCCUCUGACUAAUCAGUGCUCAUUCCCUUACAAAAAAAGAUUGCAGUUUUGAAACUGCAGUAACUGCAGUCGACUGGUAUCUUGAACUGCAGUUACACUGCAAAAUUACUGCAGUAAACAAAAGUGUUCUUUUGGACGCAGUAUUUGCAGCAUACUGUAGUUAUACUGCAAUCUGACUGCAUCUUUUUCACUUCAGUGGUGCCAGUCUGACUACAGUUACCCAUUUAUUUCAAUCAAUUGUUUCAUCAGCCUGAAAUAGGUUAGAUAUUAGUCAUGGAAAGGAAAUGGUCAGUGUCCCAGAGAAGACUGGAAAAUUCCUCACAAGCUCUGUCUGGUGUUUUAAUGGGGACACUCCUCCGUUUUAAACGAUGUCAUGAAAUCUCGCUAUAUCUUUUUAUGAAUUAGAAGAAAAAUAAAUCCAGGAAAUGUGCAACAUACUUCUAUGAAAGUACUGUCCCCUCACAAUUUGUUAAGUGUCUUUGGAACUGGUUGCACUAUGUGAAAUGCAGGUAAUUGAAAACACUAUUUCAAUGUAAAACAUGUUUGUGUAAGAUACUAUUUAUUCUGUAAAAACAGUAACAUAAUUGUUAUGUUAACCAUAAUUAUUCUAAAAACUUUACUUCUCAACUGAA
Salvelinus fontinalis (brook trout) is the source of this 6642-nucleotide RNA transcript. It is a transcript of the gene named ubiquitin-protein ligase E3B-like, with no coding region annotated. NCBI's taxonomy places the organism in Eukaryota, Metazoa, Chordata, Actinopteri, Salmoniformes, Salmonidae. The record is from RefSeq and is a predicted model, not a curated record. The transcript has 28 exons.